CUUGGUACUUCGUGUAUUUGGCCAGGGGCUAAGCAAGAAGAGCUGAAAUGUGCGGCAGUGUUAGACAGCCAUGGAAAGCAGCUCCCGGCAGACGCCAGCCAACUUCCUGUCUCUGUGGAUUUUCCUGUUCUGAACAUUUUAUGUAAAUGGAAUCAUACAAUAGGUGACUGUGU
Molecule: long non-coding RNA, 173 nt
Organism: Talpa occidentalis (Iberian mole)
Lineage: Eukaryota; Metazoa; Chordata; Mammalia; Eulipotyphla; Talpidae
Exons: 3
Source: RefSeq, a predicted model, not a curated record